This 467-nucleotide ribosomal RNA is filed under the name uncultured bacterium. RNAcentral describes it as "partial 16S ribosomal RNA". It matches the Rfam family "Bacterial small subunit ribosomal RNA", at positions 28 to 507 of the family's 1533-position model. The record is from RNAcentral.
GACGAACGCUGGCGGCGUGCUUAACACAUGCAAGUCGAACGGAAAGGCCCUGCUUUUGUGGGGUGCUCGAGUGGCGAACGGGUGAGUAACACGUGAGUAACCUGCCCUUGACUUUGGGAUAACUUCAGGAAACUGGGGCUAAUACCGGAUAGGAGCUCCUGCUGCAUGGUGGGGGUUGGAAAGUUUCGGCGGUUGGGGAUGGACUCGCGGCUUAUCAGCUUGUUGGUGGGGUAGUGGCUUACCAAGGCUUUGACGGGUAGCCGGCCUGAGAGGGUGACCGGCCACAUUGGGACUGAGAUACGGCCCAGACGCAUACGGGAGGCAGCAGUGGGGAAUAUUGCACAAUGGGCGGAAGACUGAUGCAGCAACGCCGCGUGCGGGAUGACGACCUUCGGGUUGUAAACCGCUUUCGCCUGUGACGAAGCGUGAGUGACGGUAUGGGUAAAGAAGCACCGGCUAACUACGUG